RNAcentral lists this unclassified non-coding RNA (1883 nucleotides) under Hevea brasiliensis (rubber tree). The record is from RNAcentral. Lineage: Eukaryota; Viridiplantae; Streptophyta; Magnoliopsida; Malpighiales; Euphorbiaceae.
GUACCAAUCUUGAUUGUUUAUACUUGCACGAGGUUGGGUCGCAAGAGGAUAGCUUUAGUAAAGACGAAAUCAUAUCAGCUUACACAAGGAGUAGAGUUCAACAAAUUGCUGGUGCCGUUAAUACUAUGCAACGGCGAUCAGGGAGUGUGUUACCGCCGCCAGCAGAGGAGUACUGCAGUAACAACUCUGCUUCUGCUGACAAACCUAUUAGUAAAAAUGCUGCAACUAAUUCAGCACCCAGUGUUAGAGGCUCCAGCUCCCCACCAAAUAGUAGCUCUGGUAGAUCUGCGGCUCUUCCUGCUGGAGCUUUAUGGGGAACACGUGCAUCAAAUAAUCAACACCCACCUGCCAGUGUACCAUGUUCUAAUGGACCACUUAAUAAGAAGCCUCAGACGUGUAAUCCAACGGUAUCUUAUACAGCUGUUGAAAGGACAAGUCAGGCUUCGUUACUGCCUGCCUAUGCAGGAAAGAAAGUAGUACAUACUGAAGAAAGUGUAACUUCUCAAGAGAAAGGUAAGAUAGACACUUUAGAACCUGUUAAGCAGCAUGUAGGAGCAGACCCUCAUAUCUAUACUUCUGAGAACCCCACUAUUCCGGCACCUCUGGACAGUCAGCUACAUAGUGUCCCGUCCAUGUCUUUGAAGGACAGAGAUAAACAAGUGAUACCAACCAGUAGUACAAAUGCCUUGGAUAUUUCUGUCAAGUCUAGUGGACCUGGUUUUACAAAAUAUUUCAAUGAUACCACGGAUGCUAAGAUCCAGAAUGUAUGCCUUGAUAUGUCGUCAUUGAGCAUUGGUAGACAUGAAAAAACACAGGGCAACUGUAUUGAUCAAAAUAAGGAGUCCUUGACCGGGGAAUAUGCGACUUCUGCAGAUGAGAUUUGUAUUACAAGAGAGAAGUCUGACUUGAGAUUGGAUACACUGAGCAAAGUAACACAAGUUACUACUUCCGAAAUGGAGAAUGAUUUGCUAACCUUUAAUGAGCAGAGACAUAGGGAUCCCGAAGUAGUUAUUGACAAAGUUUAUUCACCAAAUCUUCCCCCUUCUUUGCACUCCCCAGCUCAGCCUUGUUGGUAUUCCUCUCAGCUGACUAAUGGUGGUGGACCUGUUAGUGCCAAUAUGCAGUUAGACAGGAGAACUGAUUCAGUAUCACAGCCUUCGCGUGAAUCAUUGACUAAUGGAUACCCGGAGAAUGUAUCAAAUUGCGUGGCGGGUUUGCAUACUAUUGAUAGAAGUUAUUAUCCGUUGCCUGACGAGGGUAAGAUGAUGCAUGUGAAAAGGUUUCAAGGUGAAGCUCCUAGCGAGAACAGUAGUACUAAUGUAGAUAUUGGAGAGAACAGUAUUAUAUCUAAUAUUUUGUCCCUGGAUUUUGAUCCUUGGAAUGAAUCAUUAACUUCUCCUCAGAACCUUGCCAAGUUGUUGGGAGAAACUGAUGACCGACAAGGGUCUGUUAGAGUGUCAAGCUCAAGAAAAUUAACCAGUAACCAAUCAAGAUUCUCUUUUGCAAGAGAAGAACCAACCACCAAUGCAUUAGCUGAUUAUCAACCAUCUCUUAAUUACAUUGAGCAAAGUUUUAAUCAUUAUCAUCAUGGUCAUGAUUUUCCAAAUAGCAGAAAUGAUAAACUUGAUUAUAUUGGUACUCGUAAUGGUUUUUCCAUGGCUAAUAAUGAGGAAACAGUUGGUUUUGGCAACAGCUUUUCUCAUCUCUCUUCUAAUAAGCUAUCAGGUCAGUGCAUGGCUCAUCUUUGUAGUUCCUUCUGUCUUAACUGCAUCUUAUAUUGUAAAAUAUUGUUUCAAGUUUUGUUUUAAUUGUACUCCUUCAAAAGAAAGAAGAAAAUAAAAAGGUUGAGUGCCUUUGGAUUAAACCUUUUUGGUGGAUUUUCA